Molecule: ribosomal RNA, 254 nt
Filed under: uncultured bacterium
Lineage: Bacteria
Description: partial 16S ribosomal RNA
Rfam family: Bacterial small subunit ribosomal RNA
Source: RNAcentral
UACGUAGGUGGCAAGCGUUGUCCGGAAUUAUUGGGCGUAAAGAGCUCGUAGGCGGUGUGUCACGUCGGCCGUGAAAACCUGCAGCUUAACUGUGGGCGUGCGGUCGAUACGGGCAUCACUGGAGUUCGGCAGGGGAGACUGGAAUUCCUGGUGUAGCGGUGAAAUGCGCAGAUAUCAGGAGGAACACCGGUGGCGAAGGCGGGUCUCUGGGCCGAUACUGACGCUGAGGAGCGAAAGCGUGGGGAGCAAACAGG